GGAUCUUCCAGAGAACGGGGUGCAGCAGGCGCGAAAACUUUACAAUGCGAGAAGUCGUGAUAAGGGAACCCCGAGUGCCCGUAAAUUCGGGCUGUCCGCCAGUGCAAAAACUGGUGAAGAAAGAGCCGGGCAAGACCGGUGCCAGCCGCCGCGGUAAUACCGGCGGCUCGAGUGGUGGCCACUAUUACUGGGCUUAAAGCGUCCGUAGCUUGGUUGUUAAGUCUCCUGGGAAAUCCAUCGGCUCAACCGAUGGGCGUUCAGGAGAUACUGGCAACCUAGGGACCGGGAGAGGUGAGAGGUACUCCAGGGGUAGGAGUGAAAUCCUGUAAUCCUUGGGGGACCACCUGUGGCGAAGGCGUCUCACUAGAACGGCUCCGACAGUGAGGGACGAAAGCUGGGGGAGCAAACCGGAUUAGAUACCCGGGUAGUCCCAGCUGUAAACGAUGCGCGUUAGGUGUAUCGGUGACCACGAGUCACCGAGGUGCCGAAGGGAAACCGUGAAACGUGCCGCCUGGGAAGUACGGUC
This 526-nucleotide ribosomal RNA is filed under the name uncultured archaeon. RNAcentral's name for it is "bacterial SSU rRNA". It matches the Rfam family "Archaeal small subunit ribosomal RNA", at positions 318 to 842 of the family's 1478-position model. The record is from RNAcentral.